GGGGUCUUUGUUCAUUAGGUGAGUUGUGGAUGGAGCUUUGUUGUGAGUUUCUGGUGUUUUUUGUAUUAGGAAUUUUGGGAUUUAGUGUUGGGGGUUUUUUCUGAGUUUCGGUGUUAGAUUUGAUCUGCAUUGAUUGGAUAGAUAACCUUUGUUGGUUGUUAGAUUUGUGAAUCAAAUUUCGAGGGGUCUUUUUUUUUUUGUGGAUUUUGCAAUUUGAUUAAUUUUUUGG
This 229-nucleotide unclassified non-coding RNA is filed under the name Hevea brasiliensis (rubber tree). Lineage: Eukaryota; Viridiplantae; Streptophyta; Magnoliopsida; Malpighiales; Euphorbiaceae. The record is from RNAcentral.